AGACUUCCUGUCUCCUCAGCAACAAUCUACCCUGCUCUCCGAUAUUCAAAACGAGGGAUGGUUCACGGUGGCCUCUAACAAUCAGGCUAUGAGAUUUGGAGAUCUCCCAUCUUGGGCCAUUGAACUUUCUAAUUCUAUUCGGGAAGUUGUGCUAUUUGGUGAUCAGAUUUGUAAAUCUGCAGACUCAGUUAGUUGUGAAGGAGACAAAGGCACCUGUAUAAUUCCAACAAAUUUGUUGUGGAGAGAGCCACUAUUUGAUCAACUAAUUGUAAAUGUAUACCAACCAGGUGAGGGGAUUUGUGCACAUGUUGAUCUCAUGCGCUUUGAAGAUGGAAUUGCCAUCGUCUCCCUGGAGUCAUCAUGUGUGAUGCAUUUCACACAAGUGGGAGAAGAUUGUGAGAAUGGAAAGGGAGAAAACGAUCAGCCUAUGCCAAGAGUUCCUGUUCACUUAACCCGUGGAUCUGUUGUUCUAUUAUGGGGGGAUGCCCGCUACCUUUGGAAGCAUGAAAUUAAUCGCAAGCCAGGGUUUCAAAUGUGGGAGGGGAAGGAAUUAAAUCAAAAGAGGAGAACAUCCAUAACCUUGAGAAAACUUUGCUGUGUUGAGUAGCAAGGUGUGACUCAAAAUUGAUCAGGAAAAUUGCCCUGUCCUCUUAUUUCCUGCUUUUAGUAUUUAAAGUUUCCGAGGAAAAUUGCAAUUGAUAGUUGCAAGUUGUACUAAUUU
Molecule: unclassified non-coding RNA, 721 nt
Filed under: Hevea brasiliensis (rubber tree)
Lineage: Eukaryota; Viridiplantae; Streptophyta; Magnoliopsida; Malpighiales; Euphorbiaceae
Source: RNAcentral